Molecule: transfer RNA, 77 nt
Filed under: Marinobacter sp.
Lineage: Bacteria; Pseudomonadati; Pseudomonadota; Gammaproteobacteria; Pseudomonadales; Marinobacteraceae
Also listed under: 19 other names
Description: tRNA-Arg
Rfam family: tRNA
About the family: Transfer RNA (tRNA) molecules are approximately 80 nucleotides in length. Their secondary structure includes four short double-helical elements and three loops (D, anti-codon, and T loops).
Source: RNAcentral
GCACCGGUAGCUCAGUUGGAUAGAGCAACUGGCUACGAACCAGUAGGUCGGGGGUUCGAAUCCUCCCCGGUGCGCCA